CGUGCAGGCGGUUCGGUAAGUUAGGCGUGAAAGCUCCCGGCUCAACUGGGAGAGGUCGUCUAAAACUGCCGGACUAGAGAGCGAUAGAGGAAAAUGGAAUUCCCGGUGUAGUGGUGAAAUGCGUAGAUAUCGGGAGGAACACCAGUGGCGAAGGCGAUUUUCUGGAUCGUUUCUGACGCUCAGACGCGAAAGCUAGGGUAGCGAAACG
RNAcentral lists this ribosomal RNA (208 nucleotides) under uncultured bacterium. RNAcentral describes it as "partial 16S ribosomal RNA". It matches the Rfam family "Bacterial small subunit ribosomal RNA", at positions 568 to 775 of the family's 1533-position model. The record is from RNAcentral.